AACGCACGGGCAUUCAGCUAGUAAUUUUAGAAGUUUUUGGAGAUGCUGUGUAAGUUGAUUCAUAUUGGACCAAGAGACUGCCCAAGACAGUGAACACAACAAUUCUUCCUUGCCGAUUGAACCCUGGUACGGUAAGUAAUUUACAUCAUGGUACAAACUGGAACCAGUGCGCGCUCACGUGCAUCCGAACACCUAGAUAUCCGCAGCGGUGGCCGGUGGGCGGUGGCGCCUCCACCCCCUCACUUGCCGGGCACAAAGUUGGUGGCAUAGGCCCAUGCGUUGUUGUUGACGGGGUCGGCGAGGUGGUCGGCGAGGUUCUCGAGCGGGCCCUUGCCGGUGACGAUGGCCUGGACGAAGAACCCGAACAUGGAGAACAUGGCGAGGCGGCCGUUCUUGAGCUCCUUCACCUUGAGCUCCGCGAAGGCCUCAGGGUCGUCGGCGAGGCCGAGCGGGUCGAAGCUGCCGCCGGGGUAGAGCGGGUCGACGACCUCUCCGAGCGGGCCGCCGGCGACGCGGUACCCCUCGAUGGCGCCCAUGAGCACGACCUGGCAGGCCCAGAUGGCGAGGAUGCUCUGCGCGUGGAUCAGGCUCGGGUUGCCGAGGUAGUCCAGCCCACCCUCGCUGAAGAUCUGCGACCCGGCCUUGAACCACACGGCCUCGCCGAACUUGACGCC
RNAcentral lists this long non-coding RNA (674 nucleotides) under Zea mays. RNAcentral describes it as "long non-coding RNA (ZMAY_LNC004853)". The record is from RNAcentral. Lineage: Eukaryota; Viridiplantae; Streptophyta; Magnoliopsida; Poales; Poaceae.